CGGAUACUAGAGACAGAUACGAUUCAUAUGAAGGGUUAUCUCUUUCCAAGAUCCACAAGGCUCCAAAAUCAGAUUUCACAUAUUUCACUUGGUUCCAAAAUUUCCCCCCAAUCUCAUUUUCACAAAAACCUCAAAUUAAAGAAGAAAACAAAACACAUGAUUUCCCUUUCUUUCAUGUUCCCCAAAUCAAACUUUUGAACCCUCUUUUGUUUCGACCCUUCCUCCCUCUUUUACCCCAAAUCUAAGUCUAAAAAUUUCUCUCCUUAGAUCUAAAACUCUUCUUCUUCUCUCUUUCGAUUCUUCUUUCCUCUGAAACAUACACAUGCAUAAAUGAUUGGUUUCUCAAAGUUUCAGCCAUGAGUUGUUGUCUCCAUCAGGUUAGACCGCAACACUGUUCUUUAUCACAUUUUGGGAUUCGUCCAUUAGUAGCAGCAGAAGAGGGAAAGGAAUUGGCAGAAGAGAGAUGGCUAAUGUUGUUGUCAAUCUAACUCUUCAAAUUCUUAAGCAGUGUUAGCUUUCUGGCACUUAGCACUUGUAUUGGAAAUGGCAUUCCUUUUGGCGUUGUAGGAUUGGCUGUUUUGAAUGUAAUAAUAGACAAGAGUGGGGUCCCAUUUGAAAGAGUGCCUUAACGCACUCAAAGACAAAUAUAAAUGUAAGGUUUCUUAUUCUUUUUCCAUCUAAGAUUAAUGCAUAAGAAAACAUUCAUGAAUUCAUUCUAGAGAGAGCGACAGAAUGGAGAACAAAAGGUUAUAACUGAGAUGAAUUAUGUUUACCAAAGAAUCAGAAUUUGUACGAUGGAGCUGCACUUUUCUAAUGGUGUUGCUAUGACAACAAUGUCUCUAUUCAAAGCUAUUGGAUCUCCUAUGAGUGGUAAAAUGUUUCAGAAGUGAUGUGAGUGCGUGUUGCCUGUUUGUUUGGCUGUAUAAUAGGUCCGCUGCUAUUUUUUCUGGUGCGCAAUUACGUUCUGGUGGUGCCUGGCACAACUCUGUGUUUCUGGUGUAUCGUUCAGAGAGGGUUGGAGUGAUAAUAGAAUUGAGAAGACCAAGUCUAUGAUUAUUGAUGAGGGUAUUGAAAAUGACAUUCCUUUUGGUAUUGUUGCAACUAUUGGUGAGAUUGCAAAGGUCUUGACUCACUGAAAUUACUUUAACAGCUUUGCUGGAAAUAUUGUUUGUACAGCUACUAUGGUCUAUACGAUAUCUAGAAUGUGAACUAUUAAGUUUAAUUAAGAUGGUGUAAAUAAACAACGUAUUGUAUGAUGUUAAUUUAAAUUCUAUUAGAUUAUUAUCUAAACUUAAGCAAAUAAAGUUUAUAAAUUUUAUAUGC
This is a long non-coding RNA of Medicago truncatula (barrel medic), 1323 nucleotides long. RefSeq lists it as uncharacterized. The record is from RefSeq and is a predicted model, not a curated record. The transcript is spliced from 7 exons. Lineage: Eukaryota; Viridiplantae; Streptophyta; Magnoliopsida; Fabales; Fabaceae.